ACAUGCCUACAACAUAGCGUUAAUGCACUCGAUCCCAUUAGAACUCCAUAUUUAAGCAUGCUCAGGCUAGAGUAGUACUGGGAUGGGUGAUCGCCUGAGAAUUCCUAGCAUUUUACAUGCC
Molecule: non-coding RNA, 121 nt
Organism: Picea glauca (white spruce)
Lineage: Eukaryota; Viridiplantae; Streptophyta; Pinopsida; Pinales; Pinaceae
Source: Rfam